UACGUAGGGUGCGAGCGUUGUCCGGAAUUAUUGGGCGUAAAGGGCUCGUAGGCGGUUUGUCGCGUCGGGAGUGAAAACCUUGGGCUUAACUCAGGGCUUGCUUUCGAUACGGGCAGACUAGAGGUAUGCAGGGGAGAACGGAAUUCCUGGUGUAGCGGUGAAAUGCGCAGAUAUCAGGAGGAACACCGGUGGCGAAGGCGGUUCUCUGGGCAUGAUCUGACGCUGGGGCACGAAGGUCAGGGGAGCAAACGGG
This 253-nucleotide ribosomal RNA is filed under the name uncultured bacterium. RNAcentral describes it as "partial 16S ribosomal RNA". It matches the Rfam family "Bacterial small subunit ribosomal RNA", at positions 524 to 776 of the family's 1533-position model. The record is from RNAcentral.